UAGAGAUUUAUUUUUCCAAGGUUAAGGAUCAUGACCCAGGACACAGCCUCAGGAGGUCCUGAGAAUACAAGCCCAAGGUAGUUGGGUUAAAGGCUCUUGUUUUUAUAUGUUUUAGGGAGACAUAAGACAUCAACCGACACAUGUGAAGUAUACAUUGAUUUGGCCUGGAAAGGCAGAAGCUUACAGGUCACAGGUGGAUUCAAAGAUUUUCUGAUCGGCAAUUGGCUGAAAGAGUUAUUAUCUAAAAGGCUGAAAUUAAUUGAAAGGAGAGUCUGGGUUAAGAUAAGGGGUUGUAGAGACCUAGGUUCUUAGGUAGAUGAAGUCUCAUAGGUGGCUGCCCUUAGAGGCAACAGAUAGCAAAUAUUUCCUAUUCAGACCUUUAAUAAAAGGUACUAGACUCUUAGCUAAUCUCUUCAGGAUCAGAAAAACACCGGGGAAGGGAAAGGGAUCCUCUACAGAAUGUAAAUCCCCUCCCCCCGCACAAGAUACAGCUUUGCAGGGCCAUUUCAAAAUAUGUAAAAGGAAUGUAUUUUGGGAUUAAAAAAGCUUUGAUUUCCUUCAGGGCUUGCUAUCUGUUGUGUGAUGCUAUACUAGAGUCAGGUUGGAAUUUGGUAUUUUAUUGUGACAGUCUAUUUUGUCAGUCUUAAGAUCUGUUUUAAUGUUAAUGCUGGUCUGUUGUGUCUAAACUCCAAAAGGGAGAGGGUAUAAAGAGGCAUGUCUACCUCCUUGCCCGAGCAUCAUGGCUGGAACUCGUUUUUCAGGUUUCUCUGGAACCCCCUUGGCUGAGAGGGGGUCCAUUCAGUCAUCUGGGGGGCUUGGAAUUUUAUUUUUGUUUACAGAACCCAGUAUUCUCCCCGUUCACAGUUAAGACCUGAGGAAUGAAGGGCAUCCAGAUACUGACGCUGUGAACACAGCUUCUACUCAACCCCUAAUCCCAGUUGUCUCCCUCCUGACUGAAUCUCAGGGACACGGCAAUGUGUAAUGGUAGCUGUUGAGAGGCCUAGGACCAAGGAAAGGCUUGAGGGCCCUUGGCUAGAUCAGCAUGCUCUUGAGACUGAGGAGAACCGAAAGCUCAAGGGAAUAUGUCACUAUCUAUCUCACCUUGAGCCUCAGUGGCUAUUUGGGAUCCUCUUGCUUGGCUCAGAGGACUCUGGAUGUCAAAGGACUUAAAGGCUCUGCCCUAGAUGAAAACUUGCAUUCUCUGUUGGCUACAUGAGGUAAACUCAUGGGCUUAACCAAGGAAGUACUGUCUAGAACUGAAAUCACUGAUCAUUUGUACUGUUUAACAAUUCCGUUUGGGAGGCCGAGGAGGGUGGAUCACGAGGUCAGGAGAUUGAGACCAUCCUGGCGAACACGGUGAAACCCCAUCUCUACUAAAAAUACAAAAAAUUAGCUGGGCGUGGUGGUGGGCCCCUGUAGUCCCAGCUACUUGGGAGGCUGAGGCAGGAGAAUGGUGUGAACCCGGGAGGUGGAGCUUGCAGUGAGCCGAGAUUGCGCCACUGCACUCCAGAACUCCAGAGCCUGGGCAACAGAGUGAGACUCUGUCUCAAAAAAAAAAAAAAAAAAAAAGUUCCCUGAAGCAGAAAAAUCUGCUGCUCAAACAGACUUCAAUGUCUCAUGCCUAAAAUUUUCACAAAUUACCAUAUACUCUGGGUGGUGGAAUGGACCCAGAAUAGGUAAGGGACUUAAGCAAUUUCAAACAGCUUAUUAGAGACAGUGGUAGGAGUGGCAGCACAUAUGAGAAUCUUGGCCUCAAGUCUCUUACCUAAACUCUGCAGAAGUGUGUCUGGAACCCAGAAGCUCAUGCUAACAUGUCCAGUAUCCCUAGUUACUUCUUGAGCAAAGGGCAGUGAUGACAUUAGGAGAAUGAAGGAACAAAGUGGGUCAUGCUUUGUUUUAUUCUUGAACCUUUAGUCCCAUGUAUGAAUCCUGAGUGUUACCCUCCUGAAUGCUGUGCACUACAGAAUGAACUUUAGUUCACAGUAAAUGAGGGAUGCUUUUUCUUAAGAAAUAAAUUUAAUUCAAGGUGGUUAGUGAAUGUGAGGCAAUGUAAUGCCUUCACGAAAGUUAAAGUAAUCCAGUUACAAAAGAAGCACUGUGUAUAGUCUCAAAUAGCUGAAGGUACAAUGGGCUCCAUAUUUUACAAAGUACAAAAAAUUAUUUCAUAUACAAAGAAAAAUACAAAUAAUGUGCAAAAACCAUUUUCACAGGUGGCAAUUUAUAAAAUGGAAAUGAUAGAAAAGUCCUUCAUUCUUAAUUAUCCCCAGAUUUCUUAUAUAUUAACACAGUUCUAUUUCCUAGUGUGUGGACAAUUUUAAAUUUGAAAUUCUGAUUUAUUUUUAAUCUACAAAGUAUUUUUAUUUUUUAAAAGGGAACCAUUUCAUUAUUGAAAUCUUAUGAAUGCAUCAGUUAAUUUAUAUUAAAUUAUAAGCAGGCUAUCUGAAAAACAAGGAUAUAGAAAUCAUAUAUACACAUUUUUGAAAUAUUAGUUUAGUAUUUAACAUAUUAACAUUUCAAAACAAAUGCAAUGAUCUAGCUACCUAUGACGCCAGCUGGUGUCAGUGGUUGUAGCGAAGAUGCUGUUUCUGUUUACCAUGAGCAAACAGCAUUUCUUGGGUCUUAAGCUAAACAAUCACAAGUUAUCAAAGUAAAGAAAAUCUAAAGACAGUUCUUACUUUUCAUGUGUAGAAGUGUAGUUUGGGUAUCCAGUCAUGCCACAGUGUGACUGUGGUCAACACAGCCCUUGUCACAGGUGCGUAUGGUCCUAAAUAGCUGGCCUCUGUCUUUCCAACAUCUUCACUUCAUUGGGAAUUCAGUGCAAGUGUUUGUUUUGUGAGUUAGUGCAUUCAGCUUUUUUUGCAUGUUAUUUUGAAAAAGAAGCUGUCAGGAAGCAGAAGAUACAUAAGAACACAAGGCCCUGGAUCCUCAGAGCACCUCUGGUCUAGAGAAUUCAGUGUUUUGGAAGUAGUGUUUUCCUGCAUUGGGCUGGUCAUUGUUGUACCAUUCCCUGGAUAAUCUUUUUCCAUCAGAAUAAUGCUGUGUGCUCCCUCUUUGCCUGCUACUGAACAAUGACGUCUCUUGUUGUGAACCCCACUGGCAGAGCACGGACCAUGGAAGCAUCUUUUGGCAGCACCAGAGAACUGAGCAUCUCAAAGGUCAGGCAUUACAAGUAGAUGUCUCUCAUAGGAAACCUAGUCCAGGUAGAAUAUGAGACAAUCUUGGAGGGUUUUGAUUUUUGCUUGUUAAACAGGUCUCCGAGGAAAUUAUGACCUCAGAGAACAAAAAAGGAUCUAUAGCUUUCAUGAAGAAGGACCCAAGUAGGUGGUAGCCAUUUUGCCUGGGUGAGGUUCACAGUUGGCUCAGGAGACAUCUUCUGAUCAUUAACCACUAAGACCCUGUUAGAAAAAUUUAGUGCAAGAUACAGGGAGUGCAUGGGGCUGUUGACCAGACCUGUGUGAAACACCUAUUCAGGUUAAGUAGAUAUAGCAACCCCUGCAAGAGGGGACUGGGCAGGAGAACCUCAGGCCCUGGGAUAACUUGUUGUCAGCUCCUCAAGGAUCCAUGCUUCUUUUUCUAUCUAUCUGGCAGCAUGAGUUCUUCUGUUUCUUCUGCGUGGGUUGACCAUGGGCAUCAGGCAUCAGAGAUACAACUCUGGAUCUUGUCCAUCCAUUGCUGGGCACUCUGUCCAUCCUGGGCGCAGAAGUUAUACACACGUUUGCUGGUCUUGAGCUACAAAACCAAAUGACAGUGAACCAGAGAUGAAGGGCAGGGCUGUUUUAUGGAUUUGGGCAUGGUAUGAGCAGGGCUAAGUGGAAAAAACUGUAUCUAUCUUUCAUGUUAAAGAAGUCCAGAAGACUGGUUAAAAAGUAUACAGACUUAAAAGACUAAACUGCAUGAAGCAUUUUAGUUUUGUUUUUCCGUUAUGGAGUGAAACUUGCCAACUUCACUUAUUUAUAAGAAGAGAAUCUGAAAUGGAAUUUGGAGAAACAUGAAUUUAUAG
This 4000-nucleotide long non-coding RNA is filed under the name Homo sapiens (human). RNAcentral describes it as "PREDICTED lncRNA (TCONS_00035869)". The record is from RNAcentral. Lineage: Eukaryota; Metazoa; Chordata; Mammalia; Primates; Hominidae.